This is a non-coding RNA of Phoenix dactylifera (date palm), 417 nucleotides long. The record is from RefSeq and is a predicted model, not a curated record. Lineage: Eukaryota; Viridiplantae; Streptophyta; Magnoliopsida; Arecales; Arecaceae.
UAUUUCCCUACCUCUCCUAUCCCUCUUCCUCUACUCAAUUUUCUGAUAGGGUAUUAUUGGUUAAGCAGUUGAAAUCGAAGGUUGGUGAAGUGAUGUCCUCUCCUGCCAUCACUCUGUCACCUGACAAGACAGUUUUAGAUGCUGCAGCUUUGAUGCUUAAGAUGAAGAUCCAUAGGGUACCAAUCGUAAAUGAAAAACAGCAAGUUGUAGGAAUGGUUUCUCGAACAGACAUAUUCCAGGCACUGGAAACCCAGGUGGUAUAAGCUCUCUGCUUCAUAAGAAUGCUUAUCUGCUGUGUAAAUAUGAAAAUAAGUGUAAAUAUGAAAAAUAAGUUAAAGAAGCACAUAAAACAGGGCAGCUAUGACUUUGUGACUCCUAAUUGCAUAUUGUAUGAUAUAUUCUCUUCAUUUCUUUGUG